GCAUGUGAAGCGAUCUGGCUGUGACAUCUGCCACCCCUCUGAUUGCCAGGGCUGGUCUGCUGAUCUGCCUAUCGAGGUGGGUGCACCCUUGCUUUCUCUCUUCUCCUUGUGUGUCCCUCCUAAAGCUGUGCGCUGGGUUGAGGAGGACCUUCCCUGAGGAGGAGGAUCAGUGCCCUGGCCCUGGCCCUAGCCCCUUCGGGCAGCUGUGCUUCCUGCCAGAACCUCUAGGCAGGCUCUCAAGGUCCGAGGCUGCUAGCAAGAAGGCUGUCGCCCUAUUGGAAGCUUUGGACCUCCAGCACAGUGAGCUGAAUAAACCUCUUU
Molecule: small nuclear RNA, 321 nt
Filed under: Spermophilus dauricus (Daurian ground squirrel)
Lineage: Eukaryota; Metazoa; Chordata; Mammalia; Rodentia; Sciuridae
Description: 7SK RNA (ENSSDAG00000010017.1)
Rfam family: 7SK RNA
About the family: 7SK was discovered as an abundant small nuclear RNA in the mid-70s but a possible function has only recently been suggested. Two independent studies have found that 7SK RNA binds the CDK9/cyclin T complex (known as elongation factor P-TEFb).
Source: RNAcentral